This is a small nuclear RNA of Loxodonta africana (African savanna elephant), 106 nucleotides long. Lineage: Eukaryota; Metazoa; Chordata; Mammalia; Proboscidea; Elephantidae. The record is from Ensembl.
GUGCUCACUUCAGUAGCACAUAUAAUAAAAUGGAAUGAUACAGAGAAGAUUAGCAUGGCCCUUGUGCAAGGAUGACAAGCAAAUUAGUGAAGUGUUCCAUAUUUUU